Non-coding RNA from Doryrhamphus excisus (bluestripe pipefish), 516 nucleotides. NCBI's taxonomy places the organism in Eukaryota, Metazoa, Chordata, Actinopteri, Syngnathiformes, Syngnathidae. The record is from RefSeq and is a predicted model, not a curated record.
UCUCUCAGAGGGACGGACGGAUGGAGGGGACACGGUGGAAAAACAACCCUUUGGAGAAGUUGAGCCCAAGAAAGCAUGGGAGGUUCUACUGGGUACUGAGGGUACUGCUUAGUAUAUUUAGUUACUCUGUAUGAAGUACCGUAUACGCUGUGUCCUCCCCAAAAGAGCGCCCCCCUCUGCCACAACUGGGAGUGUUGGGCUGCGUCACCGGACGUAAAGGUCCCGGCCGGCAGAGCUCCUUGGCCUUCUUCCAGAACCCGGCACCUGACCCGCGGGCUUCCUGGGACGUGGUCCGAGGGAUGCUACCGCUGCAGCUACGAGAUCUGCAGGACGGCCGAAGAGUCGGUAGCGUGGUCCUCGGUCCGGACGGGGAAAUGGUUCAACUUUCAUUGUACGCCGACUACCAGGAAGCGCCACUGGGUGGCGCCACCAUGGGGGGCAGAGUCCUGCAAGUCGUGUCUGCAGAUGGCGAGACGUCACCUUCGGUCGUCCUGUCGCAGCGUGAACACGCCCCCA